Molecule: long non-coding RNA, 642 nt
Filed under: Cricetulus griseus (Chinese hamster)
Lineage: Eukaryota; Metazoa; Chordata; Mammalia; Rodentia; Cricetidae
Description: lncRNA (ENSCGRG00015033405.1)
Source: RNAcentral
CUUUUCCCUGAGUCAACAGGGACACUCAAAAUAGGGGAUCCGGACAGCAAGCCCCCUCAAAAGUGAAUCUAACAGGAGGAGGUUCUUGGCAUUCAUGUGCCCUGAAGAUGCCCUGAGCUGUACUCCAUGUGGACCCAAGAUGAUCCUGGUUUACAAGCAAGGACCAGAGGCCCAUGAUGAAGGAACAUCAGCGCUCAGGAGGAUCCGAGUCAGAAGUGGACACAUGGGGGACAUGCCAAGCACAAGUUGUGUCAGGGGAGACAGGGCUUCUCCUCCCUCAGCAGCACCUCCUCACCCAUCCAGAAACUCUACACACCCUGGCAUUGAGGGACUUUGUGGAGAUCUGGUUACAUUUGCAUGAGAGACGGCAGCAGUGACCACUGGUGACUGACUCAACCCCCCUCCUCACCUCUGAAGGGCUGAGCAGACACAGACAGAUGCAAGCUCUGCCCUGCUUAUCAUGAAGCUGGUUUCCUUGGAGAGUCACAUCAACAGAAACUCGGGUGUGGCUGGAAGGGGCUUCUUAGGAGCAACAGAGUGCCCUUGAUGCACACAGUCCUCGAAAACUCCCAGGACUUUAGAAGCUCUGUCAGGGAAUGGAGACUAAAACCAAUCAAUAAUCCCAAUUAUCAUAAAUGUGAC